AGGCUGCAACUCGCCUACAUGAAGUUGGAAUCGCUAGUAAUCGCGAAUCAGAAUGUCGCGGUGAAUACGUUCCCGGGUCUUGUACACACCGCCCGUCACACCACGAGAGUUUACAACACCCGAAGUCAGUGGCCUAACCGAGAGGGAGGAGCUGCCGAAGGCGGGACUGAUAACUGGGGUGAAGUCGUAACAAGGUAUC
Molecule: ribosomal RNA, 199 nt
Filed under: uncultured bacterium
Lineage: Bacteria
Description: partial 16S ribosomal RNA
Rfam family: Bacterial small subunit ribosomal RNA
Source: RNAcentral